Molecule: ribosomal RNA, 258 nt
Filed under: uncultured bacterium
Lineage: Bacteria
Description: partial 16S ribosomal RNA
Rfam family: Bacterial small subunit ribosomal RNA
Source: RNAcentral
UACGGGGGGGGCAAGCGUUUGUUCGGAAUUACUGGGCGUAAAGGGCUCGUAGGCGGCCAACUAAGUCAGACGUGAAAUCCCUCGGCUUAACCGGGGAACUGCGUCUGAUACUGGAUGGCUUGAGGUUGGGAGAGGGAUGCGGAAUUCCAGGUGUAGCGGUGAAAUGCGUAGAUAUCUGGAGGAACACCGGUGGCGAAGGCGGCAUCCUGGACCAAUUCUGACGCUGGAGGAGCGAAAGGCCAGGGGAGCAAAGCGGGG